This is a long non-coding RNA of Pantherophis guttatus, 517 nucleotides long. RefSeq lists it as uncharacterized. The record is from RefSeq and is a predicted model, not a curated record. Lineage: Eukaryota; Metazoa; Chordata; Lepidosauria; Squamata; Colubridae.
AAGAAGGCUUACUUCCUGGUUAACCUAAAAUAUCAGUGAAAUGGUGGUGAAAUACUAUAGCUUCAGCAGAGAGGAAGAAAAACCAAGAAUCCAGAAAGGGGCAUGAAACAAACAGCUUACUAAGCAUCCCUUAACUAUGCCCCUGCUACCAGGCAGCUCUUGCAUACCUGUGCAAGCACAGAUAAGAUCUUACUUGGAUCGUCUACAAAUUCCAGACCAGAGUUUCUACUGUGGAGUUUAAUGUUCAAAGAAGUUUUCUACAUUUGUCCCAGUGGUGGGUUGCCCCCGGUUCGUAUCAGUUCUAUAGAACCGGCAGUAAAACCGGCGGGAGGCUCUGCCCACUGACCCUGACGCCAUCAAAAUGCUUCUGCGCAUACGCAGAAGCUUCUGCACUUGCAUAUGCACCCCGUUGCAAGCCAGUAGUAAAGGUAAGUAGAACCCACCCCUGAUUUGUCUCCUGCCUUCAAAAAGGAGCUCUUGUAUAAAGAGGGGUUGUGAAUAAAUUAUAAUCUGGGUU